Molecule: unclassified non-coding RNA, 336 nt
Filed under: soil metagenome
Description: partial contains 5.8S ribosomal RNA, internal transcribed spacer 2, and large subunit ribosomal RNA
Rfam family: 5.8S ribosomal RNA (bases 1-120)
Source: RNAcentral
GAUGAAGAACGCAGCAAAAUGCGAUAAGUAAUGUGAAUUGCAGAAUUCAGUGAAUCAUCGAAUCUUUGAACGCACAUUGCGCCCGCCAGUAUUCUGGCGGGCAUGCCUGUUCGAGCGUCAUUUCAACCAUCAAGCCCCCGGCUUGUGUUGGGGACCUGCGGCUGCCGCAGGCCCUGAAAAGCAGUGGCGGGCUCGCUGUCACACCGAGCGUAGUAGCAUACAUCUCGCUCUGGGCGUGCUGCGGGUUCCGGCCGUUAAACCACCUUCAUAACCCAAGGUUGACCUCGGAUCAGGUAGGAAGACCCGCUGAACUUAAGCAUAUCAAUAAGCGGAGGA